UUGGAGGGCAAGUCUGGUGCCGGCAGCCGCGGUAAUUCCAGCUCCAAUAGCGUAUAUUAAAGUUGUUGCAGUUAAAAAGCUCGUAGUUGAACUUCGGGGUUUACCCAUCGGUCAGGCUUAAUUGUCUGUACUGGUGAGAUAAAUCUCUACCUUCUGAGGAACUUUCAUGCCAUUUAUUUGGUGUGAUUGGAAAUCAGGACUAUUACUUUGAAAAAAUUAGAGUGUUUAAAGCAGGCUAACGUCUGAAUAUAUUAGCAUGGAAUAAUGAAGUAGGACGGCUUGGUUCUAUUUCGUUGGUUUCUAGGAUCACCGUAAUGAUUAAUAGGGAUAGUUGGGGGCAUUAGUAUUCAAUUGUCAGAGGUGAAAUUCUUGGAUUUAUUGAAGACUAACUACUGCGAAAGCACUUGCCAAGGAUGUUUUCAUUAAUCAAGAACGAAAGUUAGGGGAUCGAAGACGAUCAGAUACCGUCGUAGUCUUAACCAUAAACUAUGCCGACUAGGAAUCAGACGAUGUUAAUUUUUUAAUGACUCGUUUGGCACCUUACGAGAAACCAAAGUGUUUGGGUUC
This 567-nucleotide ribosomal RNA is filed under the name uncultured Glomeromycotina. RNAcentral's name for it is "SSU rRNA". It matches the Rfam family "Eukaryotic small subunit ribosomal RNA", at positions 548 to 1114 of the family's 1831-position model. Lineage: Eukaryota; Fungi; Glomeromycota. The record is from RNAcentral.